This 253-nucleotide ribosomal RNA is filed under the name uncultured bacterium. RNAcentral describes it as "partial 16S ribosomal RNA". It matches the Rfam family "Bacterial small subunit ribosomal RNA", at positions 524 to 776 of the family's 1533-position model. The record is from RNAcentral.
UACGUAGGGGGCAAGCGUUAUCCGGAUUUACUGGGUGUAAAGGGGGCGCAGACGGCGCGGCAAGUCCGGAGUGAAAUCCCAGGGCCCAACCCUGGGGCUGCUCUGGAAACUGCCGGGCUGGAGUGCUGGAGGGGCAGGCGGAAUUCCUAGUGUAGCGGUGAAAUGCGUAGAUAUUAGGAGGAACCCCGGUGGCGAAGGCGGCCUGCUGGACAGCGACUGACGUUGAGGCCCGAAAGCGUGGGGAGCAAACAGG